GAUAGAAGAGGGAAAUUCUGGGAUUAGAGAGCCUGUGUCAAAAGGAAAACUCGACCCCUGGGUCCCAGAGUGGAUGCGCAGGGCAAAGUCAGUAGGGUUCCCAAAUCCAGCUCCCCUCCCCCACCUUGCGUGUGCCCCCCUGGGAGCUUCCCCGGGCUAAACUCGGGGCCUCCCCAUUUCUCUCCCACUCUCAGCUCAAGAUCUCCUUCAGCGAGACAGCAUUGGAGACCACGUACCAAUACCCCUCCGAGAGUUCGGUGCUGGAGGAGUUGGGCCCGGAGCCUGAGGCUCCCAGUGCCCCCAGCCCCCCAGCGGCCCAACCCGAGGACGAAGAGGAUGAGGAGGACCUGCUGCUGCUACAGCGGGAGCUCCAGGGCGGGCUGCGCACCAAGGCCCUGAUCGUGGAUGAGUCCUGCCGGAGGUGACCCUCUUUCAACAUAGGGCCUAUACCCACCCUUUCCCAGAACUGAAGAUCCUGGAGCCCAGAAGAUUGAGAACAGAGAGAUCCCGAACAUGAGCUUGGCCGGGAAGAGCAACCAACAUCUUCCAACUUGCUUUCCUCAUCCUGUUUAUGGGAGCAGAGCUAGUCACCCAGUUUCCACCCUCACCAAAGGUCCCUGGUAUGAGUGUGUCAGACAUGCUGGUGGCAUCCGAGGUGAUUCAAAAGUGAGCAUCAAGUCCUGAGGAGGAUCACAGUGCUCACUGGGGCUGGAGGUGGAGCACCUCCUCCAUCUCCCCGGGCAGGUACACUCUCCCUUCAGCCUCCCUUGCCUCCCCACCACCCCCUGGGGGCUCUUAGGAUUUAAGCACUCAUCCUGGGUAGCCUGCCCCCACUCCAUUUACAGGCCCCUCUCCUUCCUAUUCCUUAGGCCACUGCCCCUUUGUUUACACCUCCUGCCUCCUCUCUUGACCACCAGCCUGGUUUACAAACCCCAUUAGCUCCCAGCCCCACCUGCCAAAGUCCCAGGUUUACAACCAUACCUACUUGUUGAGUCCAUGUGGAACCCUCCCCCCUGUCCCUGGCAGUUGCCUCAUUGGGAGCGUGGCUUCCUCCACUUUUGCUCAGUAUUACUGUACCUCAGUUUUCCCCAAGAAGGAAGGCUGGGAAUCUUAGCCCUGUACCCCCAUCCAGUUAUUUAAUUCUGUUCCUCCUAGUGGUCCACAACUGAAUUGAAUUGCAAGGGUGAGGGGUGACUAACAAGGCACCUCAAUUCGUCUUCCCCAUUUCUCCUUCCUCAUCCACUGCCUGUUUGUUUUUUAAGUUUUCCAUAAUAAAAUGGAGAUCUCUCCAACUCUC
Molecule: non-coding RNA, 1297 nt
Organism: Leptonychotes weddellii (Weddell seal)
Lineage: Eukaryota; Metazoa; Chordata; Mammalia; Carnivora; Phocidae
Source: RefSeq, a predicted model, not a curated record